This 1947-nucleotide ribosomal RNA is filed under the name human gut metagenome. Its description in RNAcentral is "bacterial LSU rRNA". It matches the Rfam family "Bacterial large subunit ribosomal RNA", at positions 1 to 1980 of the family's 2925-position model. The record is from RNAcentral.
GAAAGUAAACAAGGGCGCAUGGAGGAUGCCUAGGCUCUCGGAGGCGAAGAAGGACGUGAUAAGCUGCGAAAAGUUACGGUAAGGCGCAAAUAGCCCUAGACCCGUAAAUAUCCGAAUGGGGCAACCCGGCCAGCAAUGGUCAUACCGCCAAGCGGUAAGCCAACGCGGGGAACUGAAACAUCUAAGUACCCGCAGGAAAAGAAAAUAACAAUGAUUCCGCCAGUAGUGGCGAGCGAACGCGGAACAGCCCAAACCACUCGUGUUACGGCACGAGUGGGGUAGAAGGAUCCACGAUACGGCAAGAAAUAAGUUAGCAGAAUACGAUGGAAAUCGUAGCCAAAGACGGUGACAGCCCAGUACGCGAAAACCGACAGAAGCCCAGUGGACACCUGAGUAACCCAGGACACGAGAAAUCCGGGGCGAAUCAGCGGGGCCCAUCCCGUAAGGCUAAAUACUCCCGAGAGACCGAUAGCGAACCAGUACUGUGAAGGAAAGGUGAAAAGAACCUCGAACAGAGGAGUGAAACAGACCCUGAAACCAUGCGCCUACAAGCGGUCGGAGCAUGUUAAAAUGUGACGGCGUGCCUUUUGCAUAAUGAACCUACGAGUUACUCUCGCUGGCAAGGUUAAGCGAUUCAGUCGCGCAGCCGAAGCGAAAGCAAGUCCGAAUAAGGCGUACAGUCAGCGGGAGUAGACGCGAAACCAAGUGAUCUACCCUUGGUCAGGUUGAAGGUUGGGUAACACCAACUGGAGGACCGCACCGAUAAGCGUUGAAAAGCUUACGGAUGAACUGAGGGUAGGAGUGAAAGGCCAAUCAAACUUGGAGAUAGCUCGUACUCCCCGAAAUGCAUUUAGGUGCAGCCUCGAAGUAAAGUGAUAGAGGUAGAGCGACUGAUAAGAUGCGAGGGCUUCACCGCCUAUCAAGUCUUGACAAACUCCGAAUACUAUCACUUGAUCUUUGGGAGUGAGGGCAUGGGUGCUAAGGUCCAUGUCCGAAAGAGGAACAACUCAGACCACCAGCUAAGGUCCCGAAAUAAGGGCUAAGUUGAAUAAACGAAGUAAAACUGCAAAGACAGCUAGGAUGUUGGCUUGGAAGCAGCCAUUCAUUUAAAGAGUGCGUAACAGCUCACUAGUCGAGGAGUUUUGCAUGGAUAAUAAUCGGGCAUAAGCCCUUUACCGAAGCUGUGGAUGUCGUAAGACAUGGUAGGGGAGCAUUCCGGCGGCGACGAAGGCCGUCCUCGAGGACGACUGGAGCUUUCGGAAAAGCAAAUGUAGGUAUAAGUAACGAUAAAGGGGGCGUGAAACCCCCUCGCCAUAAGACUAAGGAUUCCUGAUCAACGCUAAUCGGAUCAGGGUAAGUCGGGCCCUAAGGCGCAGCCGAACGGCGUAGCCGAUGGAAGAAACGGUAAAGAUUCCGUUACUGGAUAUAGGAGCGAUGUGGAGACGGAGAAGUGACACACCCGCCUGCCGACGGAAGCGCAGGUUAAAGGAAGUAGGUAAACGCCGGGUAGGCAAAUCCGCCCAGCGUGCCGAAGCUGACAGUAUCGAGAGCCCCCGGGCAAUCGAAUAGCGGUGGUAAUCAGGCUCCCAAGAAAAUCCGCUAAGCAUAUUCUAUAUUCACCCGUACCCCAAACGGACACACGUAGUCGGGUAGAAUAUACCAAGGCGCUCGAAAGACUCACGGUUAAGGAACUAGGCAAAUUGACCCUGUAACCUCGGGAAAAAGGGUCCCCAGUAAGAUGGGGCGCAGAGAAUAGGUCCAGGCAACUGUUUAACAAAAACACAGGGCUGUGCAAAAUUUCAAGAUGAAGUAUACAGCCUGACACCUGCCCGGUGCCGGAAGGUUAAGAGGAGAGCUUAUCGCAAGAGAAGGCUUGAAUUGAAGCCCCGGUAAACGGCGGCCGUAACUAUAACGGUCCUAAGGUAGCGAAAUUCCUUGUCGGGUAAG